GUACUUGUACGAGUCCGUCCAGAAUCAGAAACGGUCACCACGUUUGGUUGGUCGAAUUGAAUCGAGCGGUGCAGGAUAGGGUCAUCCAUAUUCCAAGAAUAUUCCUAUCCCAUGCUGAACCGAGCGGUGCGGCAAAAUUGACGGAACGGACCGAUCCAGGACCAGGCGCGCUCGCCUUUUCACCGCUCACCUCCCGUCCACUCGGUUUUUCCCCACCCCUCUGUUUCUCUCACCCCCUCCGUUUCUUCUCUCGCCCCUGGCGACGGCACUGGGCGGCGCUCCGCCCACGCCUCCUCCAGCAACCAGCGACAGUAGCCGCCCCGCCCACGCCUCCUCCAGCAACCAGCGACAGUCAAGAGUUGGACCAGGUAAGGCCGGCACCCCCCUCCCUCCUACUUUCCCAGUAGAUCUAGGAUUCGUGUUUGACCUUACGCGCUCGUGUUCUGGAUUCACGGAUGGUGUGAGAGAUUGGGGCUUUUUUUAUUGUUCUGGAUCUGGACGGAUGAAGUUGGCCGUCUGCUUGUUGUGUAGAGGCUUCCUGUAAGAAUUUUAGGAUUUCGUGCAGGCUGUGACGUGCUCUUGUGAUGGUUCAGGCCGAUCUUCGAGAUGCUUGUAGUGCUGUACUGGUUUCACCUCUGUACUCAGCUUGUUUUGUUUUGUUUUUUUUUUCUGGUAGCUUACCUUGACCCUCUGGGCGUUUAGAAAGUGCAUUUCUGAAACAUGAUUGAUAUAUUGUUCUGACACAGUAUGGUUAGUUAUGAAAUUGAUACAUGUUUUGCACUAUUUUGGGUAAUGUAGAUGGACAACAGGAACCUUGUUAGGAGAAAAUUAUUGAUGCUUAUUACCGCAGCAGCAGCAUAUGCAGCUUCAUGUAUGGUGGCUUUGUUUGUGAUGUCUAGAAUAUUAAGCAAUAAAAGGCAACGUAUUACUUAUGGGCCAAUGGAGGAGAGGGAUAAGUCUAGAAUUGAGUAUCUUAACACAAGGAUCUACAAGGAUGAUACAACAUGCACAAAAAUGAUAAGGCUUAAGAGAAUCUCAUUUUUCCAGUUGUGCCAAGUUUUGAGGGAACGCUCUCUGUUACGUGACACUAAACAUGUAUGCAUUGAGGAACAAGUUGCCAUGUUCUUGAAUACAGUUGGUCACAACCUACGAAAUAGGUUAGUUGGUACUAAUUUUAAUAGGUCAGGUGAAACAGUUAGUCGGUACUUUGGAUUAGUCCUCCAUGCCAUAGGUGAGCUACGCAAUGAUCUUAUUCGGCCACCUUCAUUGGAGACCCCAGCCAAAAUUGCAGGGAACCCAAGAUGGGAUCCAUACUUCAAGGAUUGUAUUGGUGCUAUUGAUGGAACACAUAUAAGAGCAUCUGUUAGUAAGUCUAUGGAAGCAGCCUUUCGUGGUAGAAAAUCAUUUUCUACCCAAAAUGUUAUGGCAGCGGUAGAUUUUGACUUGAAAUUCACAUAUGUGCUGGCUGGUUGGGAGGGGACAGCACAUGAUGCUGUGGUUUUAGCUGAUGCAAUAGAGCGUGAGAAUGGACUACGUGUCCCGGAAGGAAAAUUCUACCUAGUUGAUGCUGGAUAUGGAGCCAAACCUGGGUUCAUGCCACCAUUCCGUGCUGUACGGUAUCACUUGAAUGAGUGGGGAAACAACCCUGUACAAAAUGCUGAGGAGUUGUUCAAUCUUAGGCACUCUUCUCUACGGGUGACCAUAGAGCGUGCCUUUGGAUCACUCAAGAGGAGAUUCAAAAUUCUUGAUGAUGCAACCCCAUUCUUCCCCUUCCGCACUCAAGUUGAUAUUGUCCUAGCUUGUUGCAUCCUUCACAAUUGGGUUAUUUCUCAAGGAACAGACCGUUUCAUUCUACCAGAGAGCAAUUGGACACCUAACCCUCGAAGGAUAACAAGGCAGCUAGCAAAUGACCAUAGGUUUAUGGUUGACAAGAGGCAAUUGAUUGCUGAAGCAAUGUGGGCAGAUCGUCAAAAUCACUACGGACAUUAAUAAUGUGCUUUGUAUUGUACCAAUGAAGUAUUUUUUGUGUUGUUUAUUUUCUCGAAUUUAUGUAGCAGCUAUGAACCAUUGUGUUGUGCCUAGUGGGAACCAUUGUGAUGUUGUAAUAUGAAUCAUUUUACUGUUUAAUAGGAAUGCUUGUGCUGUUUUGAUAUGAAUCCUUGCUGAUUUAAUAUGAAUAAUUUUUCUAUAUUAUGAAUUCUUGUGUUUCUUUUGUAUGUUGUAGGAGAUGGACCAGGAACAUCAGGGAGAUAACUUGGCUGCACAUGGUGGAGGUGCAAUUCAAUGGACAAGUGCUAUGUCAAGCUUUAUGCUCAACUACUUGUCUCAGCUUGUGGCUAGUGGCACUAAAACCUCUUCAGGCUUCAAGCAAGUUCAUUUGAAUGCCUGUGCAAGGGCUUUGAAUGACUGUCUGGGUGUUCAUGUCACCGGUACACAAGUUAGCAACCACCUCAGAAAGUGGAAAAAGAUUUAUGGAAAGAUUGUGAAGCUGAAAAGCUUGAGUGCAGCUAAUUGGGACGAAGAAAGUUGUACCAUAACCCUUGAGAGAGAGCAUUACAUUGGUCAUAUUCGGGACCAUCGUGAGGAUGCCAACUACUUAAACACUCCAAUUGAGCACUACCAUGAGAUGGCCACUAUCUUUGGCAAUAGUUUGGCAACUGGUGCAUAUGCCAAGGGAGCAAAUGACCCUCUCGCUGCAGAGGUUACUGAAACAGAGAAUGCACCAAAAGACACUGAAGAUGCUUCACCUACAAAUGAUCAAGUAGGGGCAAUGCCCGAUGAGGUGACAAUGUCUAUCAACAAUACUGGCGGGGAGUCCUCAGGUACUAAACCACCACCACCAAAGAAGGCCAAGGUCACUGUUGAAGAUCCUAAUAUUACCAUGGUGACUAUGAUUAGCCAGAGCCUCGGGAACUUAGCAGCAGCCAUAACAAAUGUCACCAAGGCCAUUGCUUCAGAUGGUGACAUUCCUGAGGGACUUUAUGAUGCCAUGAUGAGUAUCCCUGGAUUUGAUGCAGCCCAUCUUGAUCACUACUAUGCUUAUUUGUGUGACCAUCCACCACAAGCAAAGGCCUUUUACAAGUUGCCCCUAUCAAGCAAAAUGAUAUGGGUUGCAAGGUACAUCAAGGAGCACCUUUCCGAUGCUGAUCUAUAAGUAGCAAUCUAAAUAUUUUGCUAACCACUAAAACUGUAAUCUAUGGUGGUUUAUAAUUAGUGAUUGUGUGUUGUACCUAGUCAUGAACUGUGCUGGGGUAUUUUGUAGCAUGUUGGUGUUGGUUCUAAUAUUUUGCUAACCGUAGAACUAAAACUACAGUGGUUGAUGAACUACUACGGUGGUUGAUGGUUUGAUAUGUUUGAACUAUGGUAUGGUAUUAUCUGGUAUGAAUGAACUAUGAUCUGAUAUGUAUGAACUAUUAUCUGUGAUAUAUCUCAGUGUUGGGCUUAUAUCUGGAUGCGUUCUUUUAUGUCAA
RNA transcript from Setaria italica (foxtail millet), 3470 nucleotides. RefSeq lists it as uncharacterized. The transcript has 4 exons. The record is from RefSeq and is a predicted model, not a curated record. Lineage: Eukaryota; Viridiplantae; Streptophyta; Magnoliopsida; Poales; Poaceae.